AGAUGGUUGUGGACAGUAACCUCUUUUAUAGGGAAGAAUUCUGACGGUACCUAUUGAAUAAGCAUCGGCUAACUCCGUGCCAGCAGCCGCGGUAAUACGGAGGAUGCAAGCGUUAUCCGGAAUUAUUGGGCGUAAAGCGUCCGCAGGUGGUUAGUCAAGUCAGCUGUAAAAGACUCAGGCUUAACUUGGGAUGUGCAGUUGAAACUGAUUGACUAGAGUACGGUAGGGGUAGAGGGAAUUCCUAGUGUAGCGGUGAAAUGCGUAGAUAUUAGGAAGAACACCAGUGGCGAAGGCGCUCUACUGGGCCUGUACUGACACUGAGGGACGAAAGCUAGGGGAG
This 340-nucleotide ribosomal RNA is filed under the name uncultured marine organism. Its description in RNAcentral is "bacterial SSU rRNA". It matches the Rfam family "Bacterial small subunit ribosomal RNA", at positions 409 to 768 of the family's 1533-position model. The record is from RNAcentral.